GUUUGUUAUUCCGAUGGUGCAUUUGCCAUCAAAGGCAAAAGAGGAUACUCUAUCACGCAGAGAUAAACGAGUUGUAGGUAAUGCAAGAUGCUUUGUCUUUCCCAAAAAAGAGUGUCAGCAGCACAUCACAUUCUUAAAAUGAGGAGAUCGCUUCUUCGACUGAUGCUAUUCUGACAGAAGACAUGCCAUUCACUGAGAUAUUUGACACCCAGAAAAUAGCAGAUGAUCCACCAAAUGAACUAUUCACCAGUCCAUCAUUUGUUCCCAGUGAUAUGGCAUCAGAGAAUGACAAUUGCACUCAUUGUGCUAAGUGGGUGGAAGAAAAGCGAAUGCUAUUAAAUACAGUUGAGAGCUUGCAAAAAA
This is a long non-coding RNA of Xenia sp. Carnegie-2017, 363 nucleotides long. RefSeq lists it as uncharacterized. The transcript has 2 exons. The record is from RefSeq and is a predicted model, not a curated record. NCBI's taxonomy places the organism in Eukaryota, Metazoa, Cnidaria, Anthozoa, Malacalcyonacea, Xeniidae.